RNAcentral lists this ribosomal RNA (201 nucleotides) under Sarax sp. 1 GSM-2017. Its description in RNAcentral is "partial small subunit ribosomal RNA". Lineage: Eukaryota; Metazoa; Arthropoda; Arachnida; Amblypygi; Charinidae. The record is from RNAcentral.
AGUAAGAGGGGAUCUUGAAACCUAAAGUUUUUGGCGGUUUUUUAGUCUGUUCAGAGGAACCUGUCCUUUAAUCGAUGGUCCACGUUGUUUUUAACCUUCUUUUUAAAUAUCGCCGUCUAUGACAGGUCAAGAUUUAGCUUAUAGGAAGGAGUGAUAUUGGAUUUGAGAGUUUAUGAAAAUAUUUUGAGCUCUAAAGAAUGU